CUUGGAGUAAGUGGGGAAGUGAGGUGUGCUUCGAAGGAAGGAAAACACAAGCAGCAAAUUACAGACACUAGAAGCCCCCUUAAAGAGUCACCUGAGCUGAUUUUGUGAGCCGCUGUGUUUGCCUGACACCAGGUACACACGGAAAUGCUCAGCUGAUUAGGAAAAAAGGCUGGAUCUGACAACUCCACGUGAUGAAGAAACACAUGUCCUGAGGAGGCUGUCCCUGCUUCAGCACAAGAAAGCUCAUUGUGAAACGCCAUGGGUUUAUAAAGAUGCAGUGCAUGAUAAGAAGGCCUACCCCUAUCUCUCUGAACAUCAACUGAGAUCUUAUGUAAUCUUAAUGGAUUGGACCCAGACCUCUCUCUUCCAAAGAUAUAUCAGUGUAAAUAGACAAUAUCGACAAAGAUGGAAAGCCAAGAGCCAGAACAAAUGUGCCUCCCACCUUCCCAGGGGACAACAGCUCAGAGAAGAGGAUGUGGAACCAAGAAAAGGGCUCAGCUUUGGAAAUGUGAUUCUGCUCUCAAACUAUUUAAUGUCACAUCCAACACCCUAAACUGCACCCAUGGGACAAGUGGGAGUCAGAGCAACUGAGAGAAGAGAGUAUCCCAUCCUGCAUCUUGGGUAUGUUAUUUGAUGCUUUUACAUCAAGACUGGACUGCCAAGAGACUACUGUGGGGUAGCUUCAAGGUCUGUAAAUGAAAAGCUAUCAUUUGCGUAAAAAGGAAAGUCAAAACACAGCAAAAUUGUGUACCAGAAAUGAUGCCAAGGAAUAGUACUCAUGAAAAAUAUACAUACUGUUUUCCAUUGACUGCUAAUGGGCAGUCCAAGGAUUUGAUAUCAGUGAAGAAAACCUGCCCCCUCAACCCACAAAUAAUUGGAAGUAUUUUGACCCACUUAAGCAGGCAGCUCUUAGCUAUGACUUUAGUAGAAACUAUCCAUUAAAAAAAAAUAAAUAAAUCCAUAAGCAUAUGCAAGAUCAAAGUCUGUGUUAUCAUAGUUAGCU
This 1003-nucleotide long non-coding RNA is filed under the name Gallus gallus (chicken). RNAcentral's name for it is "lncRNA (ENSGALG00010006626.1)". Lineage: Eukaryota; Metazoa; Chordata; Aves; Galliformes; Phasianidae. The record is from RNAcentral.